UACGGGGGGGGCAAGCGUUGUUCGGAAUUACUGGGCGUAAAGGGUUCGUAGGUGGCUCGCUAAGUCAGACGUGAAAUCCCUCGGCUUAACCGGGGAACUGCGUCUGAUACUGGAUGGCUUGAGUUUGGGAGAGGGAUGCGGAAUUCCAGGUGUAGCGGUGAAAUGCGUAGAUAUCAGGAGGAAUACCGGUGGCGAAAGCGACUCUCUGGACGGCAACUGACGCUGAGGCACGAAAGCGUGGGGAGCAAACAGG
Molecule: ribosomal RNA, 253 nt
Filed under: uncultured bacterium
Lineage: Bacteria
Description: partial 16S ribosomal RNA
Rfam family: Bacterial small subunit ribosomal RNA
Source: RNAcentral